RNAcentral lists this ribosomal RNA (497 nucleotides) under uncultured bacterium. Its description in RNAcentral is "partial 16S ribosomal RNA". It matches the Rfam family "Bacterial small subunit ribosomal RNA", at positions 28 to 507 of the family's 1533-position model. The record is from RNAcentral.
GACGAACGCUGGCGGCGUGCCUAAUACAUGCAAGUUGAGCGCUGAAGGGUGGUGCUUGUACCAACUGGGUUAGCAGCGAACGGGUGAGUAACGCGUGGGGAAUCUGCCUUUGAGCGGGGGACAACAUUGGGAAACGAAUGCUAAUACCGCAUAAAAACUUUAAACACAAGUUUCAAGUGUGAAAGAUGCAAUUGCAUCACUCAAAGAUGAUCCCGCGUUGUAUUAGGUAAGUGGGGAGGGAAAGGCUCACCAAGGCGAUGAUACAUAAGCGACCUGGGAGGGGGAUCGGCCAACACGGGAAUGAGAACACGGCCCAACUCCCAAGGGAGGCAGCAGUAGGGAAUCCUCGGGAAAUGACGAAAGUCUGAACGAGGCAAGCCGGGUGAGGGAAGAAGGGUUUUGGAUCGUAAAACCCUGUUGGUUGAGAAGAAAGUUGGUGGGAGUGGAAUGCGCACCAAGUGACGGUACCUACCCAGAAAGGGACGGCUAACUACGUG